Molecule: long non-coding RNA, 8445 nt
Organism: Bombus pyrosoma
Lineage: Eukaryota; Metazoa; Arthropoda; Insecta; Hymenoptera; Apidae
Exons: 2
Source: RefSeq, a predicted model, not a curated record
UGCUGCUGCUGCUGCUGCUACUACUACUACUACUACUACUAUUACUAUUACUAUUACUACUACUAGUAGUACUAUUACUCUUACUAUUACUAUUACUACUACUACUACUUCUACUACCACUACUACUAUUAGAGUGUCUACUGUAGAUGUACGCAUAUAUCUGCAUGUACCAAAGAACAGUUGAACAUAUAUGUACAUCUGAUGUAUACAUGGACAUGUGCACGUUGGGAAACGUACAGAUCGGCACGCGUACAGAGAACAAAAGCCGGUAAAAGAGUACUUUUGAUGCGAAAACCGGAGCGCAACGAUAAAUGAGAAACUCGAGUCUCGUUGAAGCUGGAAUAUCCUGUAAGCGUCGGACAUAAAUGUGAUCCGUAGUUGGUUGAGGAGUAACGUUCUUGGACUAAUUGCUUGUAAUAUACGCGAGCAUCGCAGAUCGAUAAAGAUCUCUGUCCAACCAAAAGCGACCGAAAUCGUUGGUCUGACGCCGAUAAAGAAUUACAUCUUUGCGCGUUGCUUUUGAUACGUAAAAUCGUAUGGCGAUCUCGGGUCAGCAACGCGAUCGUGAAUCGUCGAAGAAUGACCCGCGACGCGUCAACUUUGACCGCUUAAAGGAUCCUCCGAACGGACGAUCGUCGCCGCGAUCCAUUCUUCGAUCCUCGACGUAUGUUCUAUGAUCGAUCUCGCAACAGUCAUGUUGUCAUCGUAGCUUCCCUUGGAAGAGUGGGCUGGGCAGCGUGGCUGACCCGAGGUCGAAGGAUCGCAUCGCGUCGACGGGCACCAGAGUGUUUGGCGUUGAAAAAGAGACGACGAGAUAUAGCCUUUUUCGAUAAGAAAGCCGAACAUCGUAUUCAUUGCCACUCUACAGUCACUCGCCUACAGAAUGAUUUCUGCUACCCUGUUCCUUGGCAGCCGGAUCGUAGCGCGGCAUCGAUAGAUUGUACGGGGCAAAAUACGAUCGCGUUCGCGGUACGCGUGAACCACGCAGCUACAAACAGUCUGGAUGCGUUCAAUGGAAAUGCGGUACAGCGAUAAGUUCAAUGUAUGUACGUGUAUAUGUUUAACGGAGACACUUAGAGCGUAAAACGUGAUAAGGCUAUAAGACAGUAUAAGUUUGGAGCUGGGAGCCGUGCAAUGUUGUUAUCGGACGAAUGAAAGCGGACGGGUAUAACAGUGGUAAGAAUGCGGAAAGAGAGAACGAGAGGGAGUGCGAGAGAAACGAGGAGAAAAUAAUGGACAAAAUGGGAAUUUGCCAGGAGCGAAAGUUAUCGCCAGGAACCAGAGGAAAGAAGAUAUUUUUUUAUUUUUUUAACGAGAUCUUGGAGACGAAAAAGAGAUAACAAAGUUUACACGCAAGAAAGAAAUAGGAAAAUGGAGGAACAAAGAGGAAGGCGGAAGAAAAUGAAGCGGCAGAGAGCUUGCGUGCGUGCGUGCGUGCGUGCGUGAGUGAGCGAGUGUGCUUUCGUGUUCUUUGUUCUGUGUGCGUGUUUAUGUUCGUACGUGUGUUUAAAUGGCGGUCGGAAAUGUAUGGGAGAGCGUGCGUGCGAAAGAUAGAAUGAGAGACGGAGCGCGGAAAAUGGAAAAUACAGAGCUAAGUGCAUCCCAGAGGCGGGCACAGUGCAUGCGUUUUUUACGUAGAAAUAGAAAGUCUGACUGCUUUUGAUUUGUGGAAAUUUUUACGGGAAAUAGUUAACGUCUCUUAGAUAUUAAAGAAAACGAGUUGUUCGAGUAAAAACAAGCUGAAAAAAAGUAAAAACGUUGAGAAAAGCACAGAAAAAAAGGACGAAGAAGAAAGGACGAAUGAAAUUUACAAUAGCGACGACGAUGAAAAGGAAGAUUGAAUUUUUUAAAUGUCGUUUCGCCUUUGUACGUAUCUUUUUAUGUACAUUUACACGUCGACGUUUGUUUUUUAUCGUAAAAAUUUCACCAUUUGUAUUCGUAAGUUAUCAUAUAGGAGACUCCUGUUACUAAUACUACUGUUUACUUAAGAUAGCCCCUUAUUUCCUAGCGUGUAAAACGAUGAAAACGCAAAUUUCUAUAUAAUUUUGUAAUAUAAUCGAUGCCGAGGAUACGAAUGAAAUUAGAGGAAACUUACAAGUGCAACUUAAGUCUUAACUUGAAGUUACCAAGCUGCGAGGUUUUCAUACUCUCGAAAGAUAUAAUUUUUUAUUAAAGCAAUUUUUUGCGGAGCUCGUUUUAAUCGAUCAUCUUUAUUUUUUUAUAUAUACCAGUGGUAGUAUUUUCUGCCCACCUCUGGGUAAAAACGGCGUACGAACGAAUAACAAAAAGAAAAAAAAGAAAAAAAAGUCACGCGACGUCUGUCGUGAUGCAAGACGCGAUUUUACCCCUUCUUACACUGCAUUUCUAUUUUUAAUAAUGUAUGCUCUUUCAUAUUUCGCUGCAUCGGGAUACGACACGAUAGCGUCGCAAUAAAUAAAUCUUUGUCGCGUUUUGUAAAUAAAUCGUCGAGGGUCGCGUCUUGUAUAUCGACGGAGGUUUUCUUAGGAAAAAUAUCGAAGAAAAAAAAGGAACAAAAAAAAAAAAACGAAAAAGUAACCAAAAAAAAAAAACGAAGAGUAAAUGAUAAAAAAAAAAAAAAAAGAAAAAAGAAAUGGAGGAGAAAAGGCGAAAGCAAGAAUAUUACUAGUCAAUCCUCGAUCCACGAAAGUUGCAUGGAAAUUACGAAACGAACGAGAAAACGUUUUUUAUUUUCGAUUCGUAAAAGGAAAAGACUUUCUUUGUAUCUCGAUCCCUGAAUUUUUGAUAAAAACCAAUGGGUAUUAUUAACGCGAUUUAAAUAUGUGUCCUACUGAUUUAGAGACUAUUUACACGAUUCGAGAAAUCCUUUUUGUACGUUAUUUCUACGUUCACCUGUAAUUUAACAUUGUCCACGUUAUUGUAGCGAAUAGCGUAUUGUAUCGUUGUAUGGUGAUCUUUAUUUUUAAACACAUUUUUAUUAUCGUUGGUAACGUUAAGGGUACUUUAGCUCGUCUGUAACCGAGGAAAGUUUUCAAGUACUUUAUUAUUGUAUUUGGAUAUAGCAACGUUGACUUGGUUCCCCUUAUUUCAUAUUUUUCUGUUUUGUUAAUGAAUUUCUAUUCGUACUACGGUUAAAUGCAAAUUAUGCAUACUUCAACGAUAUCGUUUCGUCUCUGUUUUUUUCCACAUUUCAUACACUUUUGCAUUACGCUUGCCAUACACAUACGGUUAAAUACACACCCAGACACACACGCAUACACACAUACACACGAAUACAGGCACUCUUACACAAAAUACGCACAUACACACGUAGCACAUCCUUCUCCCUUGCUUCCUACAAACUCGUCGAACGAUUCGAAGCCCGAUACAACCGAAGGACCUCGAUCGAGUGUACGACAGAAGACGUUAGCGGCUCGGAACUGGCACGAAUCAAAUCCACGUUCGACUUUUACGCUACUCUCAUUCUAACGAAACAAUCUUUCAACGAUGAUAAACCGAGAUAGAUGUAUAAAAGACGAUCGCAAGUACAUUGAACACCGUGCGGUCCUUCGAGAAAAGGCAAACGAGGUGGACUUGAUUCACCAUGCAAGUCGUACGUAUACAGGUUUUUUAUAUGUUUCCAUGAAAACGAAAGGAGCGAGCGGGAUAGAGAGGAGGAGAGCGGAAACAAUGAGAGAAAAAAAAAAGGCGUAGGAAAAAUAAUAGUUUUAUCGUUUGGUUUGUUAUAGUAUUAAAGUUAACGUUAAUGGACGAUCGAUUCGAUCGCGGCUUGAAAAGAUCGAUGUGUCCGACUGAACGAACGACGAUCCAAGUGAACAGCGCCUGAGAGGAAAUCGCGCUGUACGUACGUCUUUAGGAUAUUGUACACAUUACGCUUAACGUAACUUUAAGUAAGUAACUACGCUUAAGUGAAACAAACCACUUAUUACUAAUUUGAUGGUUGCGCUGGUUCGUCUCUCUAUUUUCGCCUUCGUAGAUUUAUAUAAAAUAGUUACACACUCUCUUUAUCGAUAGGCAAAGCUCACGGAUGAACGAAAUGUAUCUUCUUUGUCUUUCUAUAUGAUACUUUCUUCCAUCGAGAAUCUUUUCAAUAAACACCAUUCACUCUAUGAAAUCACGGUCAACGAUUUUUUACGCGAAACGUGGACGCAACGAACAAUCGUCUUUUUUUAUUUUUUUAUUCUUUUUCUUUUUUUCUUUUUCUGAAAAAUUGCCGGUCGCAAAACGUUGCACCUUCGUCGUUGGACUUGAUUCGGUUCAGUUCCCCGAGACUCUGGUAGAUUUCGGAACGCUAGCGUUGAGGUAGAACUUCGCUUCGGAAAUAAUUAUUUCGAGAAAUCCGAGUGAAACCACACGAACGAAGGAACGAUCGAAAGUUGUCGUUAGCGAGCUGGUCGCUCGACGAAUUUUACCAUUCGAUGAAAAUCCUCGGUGCAAACCGAGCGCGUUCUCGUUUCCCUUGAUCGCAUUCGUUCCGCGUAUUCCACGUUUUCUCGGAUUUUAUUACGAACUAACCGAUCGUUCGUUAAACAUAGGUUCAUCGACUUACGUACGAGUCGACAUUUUUGUAGAAAUUUCGACGAAAGAGAAAGAGGCAGAACGCGAUAUCGUAACGAUAAACCGUUCUCUGCGUUCGUAUCCCGCCGACACCGUCUCCACAAGUUCGACUAGCAUUUUUAACGAUAUUUAGUCUCUUUACCUUACUCGAAUCGAUUAUAUAUCGUGUAAGAACCAUUCAACUACUUUUAAACGCCGCAUUUGUGCGCUAGGUUAGCAUUUAAGUAUGUCGAAGCAAUACUACUAUGUGUAUGCGAUAUAUUUCUUACGUCGAGAAUUUUAGAUCCAACUUUCUUCUCGUUAUCGAAAGUGCGCGAGAUCGAAGUUAUUCGAACGAAGAGCCAGCCAGGACUCUUGCCGCGAAACAAGGGAAUUCGCGUUGCUGUCUUCUUCUUCUUCUUCUUCUUCUUUUUCUUUCCUUUUUUCUUUUCCUCCUUUCGUUUUCUCAAACGAAUCGAGCGUCGCGCGAUUUUCUGCAAAAUCGUCGGAGACGGAUAUUGGGGCAGAGCGUCACUCGGCAAGAUACAGGACACGAUAUCCUAGAGCUUAUCUCUCCUAUCGCGAAUCAUGUGCAGAUCUGUUUGUUAUUCCGCGGACACGUGAUUACUCGUCGAUCGAUUCUGGUAAAAGUACACUGUAGCGCAAAGGAUGUCUCGAAUCGAAGCGAAGUUACGAAACUUUCUUUAACCCGACACAAAGCGGGGAGAUUUCGCGAGGUGCUAAAAGACAACAUAGAUCUCCGUUCUCUUUGUCGCGAUUAUGUUCGAAUUCACGCUGUGAUCAGUUCCGCGUAAACUAAACGGAAGGUUGUACGCGAUCGUAGGAUCGGAUUCGAAAAAUUUUCUUCGAAUCGUUCGGCUCUCGUUCGAAUGGCGGAAAUUGAACGAGAGAGAGAGAGAGAGAAAGAGAGAGCGUGCGUGAUAUCGUGGGAUCGCGAUCCAUCGAUAGAAAGAUCGCGAGAGAUAAUUGUAGCUUAGCCAAUACAACGCACGUACACGAUAGAAUUUAUUUUUUUGGUCACAGAGUACCGUUCUAGGUGCGUAAGUAUAUCGAUAUACGUUUAGUGCGAACGACGAAUGAGGGAUUCGUUGUCAGUGAGGCGAGCGAACGAAAGAAAGAGGAGCAGCAAAGCCGAAAACGCGACGAGAAGAAAAAUCGGUCUCGAGACAGAGCGAGAGAGUGAAAGCGAGAGAGAGAGUGUGUGUUUGUGUGUGUGUGUGUGAGAGAGAGAGAGAGAGAAGAAAGUUUUUUGAGCGAGCGUAUAAUCGCGAAGAAUGGAAAAAAGAAAGCUCGUGUGUCGGGGGUGCUCGGUCUGUACGUACGUAUAUGCAUGUAUGCCUGUAUACGUGUACACGUGUGUACGUGUUUACGUGCGAAGGUGCGUGAUGCGUGUAUAUGUGUUUGUGUGUGCGCUCGCAUACGUUUAAUCGCAAUUGAUCGCGCGACGAAUCGUUGGACGCGAAUAAACACGGGAACGAACGGCGAACACGCGCAACGAUCGCGACGAUCGCGGCUGAAAGAAGAGGAAGGCGCGCGCGUCGUUGAUCGGUAAUAGCGACGGAGUGAGUUCGAGAGAAUUGCGAAUGUUUCGCGUCGAUUCGAGUUGAGGCGAAUUCCUUUACUCGUUAAACGAUGGACGCAUGGAACGACGAUCGAUUCGAUCGGCGAAUCGGUAAAACGUUAUUCUCGAAUUCACCCGUGAAUUUUCAAUGUUACUGGCACCGGUUCGCCUUCGUUUCGCGCGAUCCCCUUAUUAUCGUUAACUAAACUUUCUAUAUUUCGCGAACACGAAUCAACCUUGUCGAGUACGCGGCUCUAUGUUCUUUUAAAACUUUGUAGGCCAAGUUUUUAGCGAUUUUUAAAGAAAGAAAAAGACGAAAAAAAGAAAAGCGAAUAAAAUAUAUAUAUAAGAGAGAAGUGUUAUCGCGCGAGACAACUGUUGAACCGAGAUACGAGGGACCGCGUGGAACGAGAGGCAAUCCUUCCUUUUCUCUUCCGAUCGUAUAUACGUGUAUAUUACGACCGAAUCGAACGGUCGUCUAGAAUCUAGAGAGUUUAGAGAGGAUUUCGGCUGGCUCUCCGUAAGCUUCCUCCGUAUUGUUUGGUUCAGAAGGAUCGGGACUGUUUGUACUACGUCCACAUCGCAAGGUACGGUGUGGUCACUACAUAUUGUGGCAUUAGUAAAAUUAAGAUCACGUUUAGAGAAUGAAGUGGAUACACGUGUCGUGCCACGUAGCGAAUAUUCCAUCUGUUCUACUCGUAUUUUCAUCGUUUGCUUCUUUUCCAUCCGCAUCUCUCUUAUUCUUUGCUGUUCUCUAUUCAGAGCGAAAUGUUCCUCUCUACGAUCCUGUUUCAACGAAAAUUUCGAUAGAAUCGCGUAACAUCCCAUAGAGCCAGUGAAAUUAGUUCGAUCGAUCAAAGUUGAAAAUUUCCCUUCUCCUCUAUUCUGAUAUCACGAAAGUCACGAUAGAUUAAUUUCGCGUUGAUGCGGGCAAACGACGACAAUAGGAGUACGGCAAAACUCACUCUGCGCUGAUAUACGUGUACAUGUAUGUAAUGUGAUCUUUUUGGGAAGAAAGCUUAAUUAAUACGUAAAAAUGAAAAGUUGGAAAGAUGAAAAUUCGGGAAGGUAUGCGAGGAUCAAGCGUGUAUGUACGCGUGCAACAACGUAACUAGUUUGCGAAUAAUGGAUAAUUAGCACGCGCCUAAAUCGUUCCACGAGGCGUUCCCCUCCUAUGACUAUGGAGGACGAGCGAUCGACACUCGUUGGAACCGGCGGCAAUUAACAAAUAAAAGAAAGGAAGAAAGAAAGAAAGAAACGAAAAAAAAAAAAAAUGGAAAAAAGUGGAAAGAAAGCGUUAAAAAAGCGACGACAAAAAAAUGGGAAACACACAUACACAUACACACGAAUAAAAAAAAAAAAAGAACAAAAUGUAAUAUUAGUAGGGAACCGUAAUUUUUCAUGCUCGUUUCUCGAUCACACUACUCUAAUUACCCAGAUGUAAUUUGUACUGUGUAACUAUUACUAUUUUUAUGAAUUUUUGUACAUUUUUCUAAUUAUUUUGUAUGAUAAUCCUUAGCGGAAAGAGUGGCGAGUCUGGCACCCAGCAUCCCCUAAUAGAAAUAAAAGUGUUCAAAACGGUGGAGACAGCGUAAUCGAUAUGUUGGAGAGUGACGAAGAAGGGAAAGGGAGAUUUCUAAUACGACACGAUUACGUUACGCAAUUGUACGUGUGCACGAGCGCGAAGACGUUCUUUCUUUUCUUUUUUUACGGGGUUGAAUAAGGGUGUCGGAAUAGAAAGGAUUUCAAAUUCGAUUUAUAUAGGAAACAAGUGAAACCAACAGAGGGAUUUAAUGCGCGUAGAUCGUUUCAAAGGAAAGCCACAGUUAUUGAAUAGCGUAGUCCACCAUUUGUCCGUGUAGUUUAUCUGCUCGCCUAUCUAUCUGUCUGCCUGUCUGUCCUUCUGUCUAUAUCUAUGUCCGUCUAUCUGUCUAUUGUCUAUUUAGAUCUAUUUUUCCGUUUAAUUUCAUGCACCUUGCCAUUAACGAAUAUCGAAAGUCAGGAUAUAGAUAUAAAUUAGUCGCGAGGAACAUUUAUUAUCGAGAUAUUUGAAUACUGUACAAUGCCGAGAAAGCGAGUGCAAUUUACGAAUGUAAACGUAUAAUUUAAGAAGAAAUAGACAAGCGAGAGGAAAUAAUGGGAAAGGGAGAGAAAGAAAGACAGGCAGACGACACUUACGAGAAAAUAAUGGUGAUGAAAACCGAAAGCCUCGCGUAUAAACGCGGAAACCGAAUGUGUGAACCUCCUUCGUAAUUUGACAACGUGUUUGUUAUUAAUUAUAAGAAUAUCACCUUUUCUUUUUGUCUUAAAUUUGAAAUGCUAUCAAAUAGAUCAAUUCUUUCAUGGAA